Molecule: long non-coding RNA, 123 nt
Organism: Etheostoma cragini (Arkansas darter)
Lineage: Eukaryota; Metazoa; Chordata; Actinopteri; Perciformes; Percidae
Exons: 3
Source: RefSeq, a predicted model, not a curated record
CUGAAUGAAGGGGAGAGCCGGGACGAUUGAAACGCGGGACGGAUGAAACAUUCCAGUUUUCUCUGAGUGCAAUGAUGAUAGGCAGACUUCCUUAGGUAAAACCAGGUGAUAAAGAAACACAGA